Molecule: ribosomal RNA, 253 nt
Filed under: uncultured bacterium
Lineage: Bacteria
Description: partial 16S ribosomal RNA
Rfam family: Bacterial small subunit ribosomal RNA
Source: RNAcentral
UACAGAGGGGGCAAGCGUUGUUCGGAAUUACUGGGCGUAAAGGGCGCGUAGGCGGCCUGUUAAGUCGAACGUGAAAUCCCCGGGCUCAACCCGGGAACUGCGUCUGAUACUGGCAGGCUUGAAUUCGGGAGAGGGAUGUGGAAUUCCAGGUGUAGCGGUGAAAUGCGUAGAUAUCAAGUGGAACACCAGUGGCGAAGGCGAGUCUCUGGACAUUUCCUGACGCUGAGGCACGAAAGCCAGGGGAGCAAACGGG